AUGAGGCUGUAUCAGAGGUGAUGUCCACUCUGACUCCAAAAGUUACAGGCAUGUGGGCUACAUACACAUCACGGCAGUUGUAACUGUUCCUCCAUACUGAUUGGCAGAGUGGCUUAGCCUUUUGAGGAGCUAUGGGCUUCUUAGGUAAAGAGGUUAGCAAGCAUAGCACAGAAGAAACCCCAGCAUAUUAAUAUAUCACUUCUUGGAAACCAGAAAGUGGAUGCUGUUGCAUGGGAAACAAACCCUUACCAAUUAGCCCUGCAGUUCAGUUCCACACUGGCAGACACUGUAGAAGCUGCUCAUGUGAAUUAAGAACUUUAUGAUUUGGAGCCACUCUUGAAGACAAUUCUGACCUCAAAUUUCUGACAUUCCAUUCCUCAGAAGGGAAAGACUGCUCUGGCACUCCAGUGCCCAUGUCCUGUGGGCAGCAGCUGAACAAUUCCUAGGUGCUAUUCUCCGUCCAAGGCUGUUUUUUUACCAUAAUCUCUUCCCAAGAAAGGAGCAGACAACCUGCGUCUCAGAGUGCCUGCUUUGCCACAGAUUUCCAGGGAACUUACAGCUCUGCUUAAUUCUUCUGUAGGAUAGAGGUUUCCUAUAUCAGCUUUGCCAGCUGUUCAAGACAACCACUUUAAACUUCACCUGAGCCAGGAGAAAGUCACAAGUCUGACAGUAACAGUAUAUGGGCAUGGCGUAUUGGUUGACCUUUGCUGAGUCCCCACCUUUGGCAUACUAGACAGAUUGAAAGAUUGAAGUUGCUAAGAAACUUUUCAUCUUUAUGGAGGUCUUCUGAAGCUCUAGAGACACUGCAAAGAGUUCUCCACAGCAGAGUUUGUGAAAACCUUGGAGGUAUGGAGAGAGGAAACUGAUUUGCAGACCACUGCCAUGUUGGGAAGGAACAGGAGCUCUUCUGCUUCCAUGAACUGAGCCCUGGAAGCUGCUGCUUCUUGCCACGAGGGACAAGGGUGUAUACUGCAUUACUGGUAUUUAUCAAGGCUGAGUAGGCCCACCACAGUGUUCUCUACAAAACUCUGGAACAUUCAGGGCACUGGGAAAAUUAAAGGGCAGACAUGUUUGCCCCUGUAGCCCCAGACUCUGACAGGCCUGACAGCUCUAGGCAUCCCCAAGACACACCCUACAGCCCAUAAACUGCCCUACAUGCUGCCUGAUGUUCACCCACCCCCUCAGAUCCUGGAGGAAGCUACCACUGCAACUGGUUGACUUCUAGGCCCUACAACUGACUGAGGCCUCCAGCAGUCCUGGGAGACUUACCCAGCCAUGGUGCUUCCAAUAGGAUGAUGGAAGAUCAGCACCAGAUCAGUGGGAAGCAGAGAUCUGAAGCUGUCUUGAUUUCCUCCACUAUGUCUAUGUUGUCCUUUGCUGCUUCUUCUGCUUGGCACUGUCCACCUUGCCAUCUGGCUUCCUCAGGGAGCAUUGCCUUUGGGAAUAGGCUAAACAGGUCCUUCAAUGGACCCUGGAGGAAUUUGGAGAACUCUUGAGACCUGAACUUUGGAGUUGGUGCUUUCUAUGGUCCCCAGAUUGACAUGAACCUUCACAGUGUCCCACAGUGUGGGAUAAUCAAGCUUGACUUACAACUGUCCCUGAGAUUUGACUUUCAGUACAAGUGGCCGACAGGAGUCCUAGAGUGUCCAGUUAUUCAUCAAGCAGCGUUCAGUUCUGUGGAAAGGGUGUUGGGAGCAGGCACAUAAAGCUGUGAGGGAAAAUAGAUUCUCUGGCUGUCCCUGUUCCAGGUGGUGUUUAUGUCUGUGGAUUCUGAGCAAGAGAAAUGUCAGGGAAGAACAACAAAGCCUGUAGUCUGCAGGAUUGGUCAGUGACCUGGAAGCUGACUCUGGACUGACCCUCAGUUGGAGAGUCUGCUGGGCCCAGCUUGCCCACUGGGUUGGCCCAAAAGAGCAAAGUAAGAGAACAGUGGACAUUUGGACUCUAGAUAAUCGUUGACUUGGCUAGCAGGACUUGACUAAGUCAAGCAGUGGCGGUGGAGCUACAGAACACCAGGGUCCCAAAUGCUGAAGAAAUUUUCUGA
This 2041-nucleotide long non-coding RNA is filed under the name Homo sapiens (human). Its description in RNAcentral is "non-protein coding lnc-PABPC4L-11:1". Lineage: Eukaryota; Metazoa; Chordata; Mammalia; Primates; Hominidae. The record is from RNAcentral.